This 253-nucleotide ribosomal RNA is filed under the name uncultured bacterium. RNAcentral's name for it is "partial 16S ribosomal RNA". It matches the Rfam family "Bacterial small subunit ribosomal RNA", at positions 524 to 776 of the family's 1533-position model. The record is from RNAcentral.
UACGGAGGGGGCUAGCGUUGUUCGGAAUUACUGGGCGUAAAGCGCGCGUAGGCGGGCUGUUAAGUCGGGGGUGAAAUCCCGGGGCUCAACCCCGGAACUGCCUUCGAGACUGGCAGUCUAGAGGAAGGCAGAGGCUAGUGGAAUGGCGAGUGUAGAGGUGAAAUUCGUAGAUAUUCGCCGGAACACCAGUGGCGAAGGCGACUGGCUGGGCCUUUUCUGACGCUGAGGUGCGAAAGCGUCGGGAGCAAACAGG